Molecule: non-coding RNA, 3740 nt
Organism: Taeniopygia guttata (zebra finch)
Lineage: Eukaryota; Metazoa; Chordata; Aves; Passeriformes; Estrildidae
Source: RefSeq, a predicted model, not a curated record
UUUAAAUAGGAAGUGCAGUGAAAUGUUCUUGUUGAGUUUGAUGUGAAGAUUUGCCUAUAUUAUUAUCUAUUUAUGGGUAUAAUCACUGAGGUAAGUAGAACUACAACAAUAAAUAAACAUUUCCAGGUCUGGAUUCUGCCUUCCCUCUCAUCCAAAUCACCUCUUACUAUGCUGUGAGCAGUUUUAAGACUCAUUUAAUAAUGUUUUCUUCAUGUGACUUUCUUUCCAUACACUAGAAAGAAAUUUUUGUAAACAUCUCUUUUGGCCGAAGCCUGUUAUCAGAAGGGUUUUUUCCACCCAAUUAGCAACUGGUUCUUAAUUGCUUUUAAAGCAUCAGUUUACAUUAAUAACUAAGUCAAAGGCAAAUUAUAUAUUUUGAAAUAAAAACCAAUUAGUUGAGAGCUGUUUGUUGUUCAGGCAAAACAUCCAGCACAAAGCUUGUCAUUCAAAUCUAGAUUUUUUUAAACUUUAAAAUGUGAUUUUUACUCUAACACAAUUAAUUCACACACAACCAAACCAACGGAACCAGUAGUGUUAUCCCCACUGUUUAAAAAAAUUACAUUAAGUAAAUUACAUAGAGUACUUUGGAUCCUCCUUACCUCCCUGCAAAAAUCUGCAAGAACAAAGAUGUAGACAGAGUCAAUAGAAGGGAAUACUCAUACAUUCUCAAUAAACACCCAUCUUUAGCCCUACCUGAGACCAUGAGGCCCCCAGUUCAGCUGUAAGAGCUGAGUAAGGAUUCUGGCUCUGGGUGCUGACAGUGUUCAAGGGGAAAAGGAGGACUCAGCUCAGUCUGACUUGGCACUGCUGACUGCAGAACUGCAGUGUACUCGAGGACAAGGACCAAAAGCAUCAAAGACCACUGGUUUGCGUAUCAUCAACUUGCAAAUAAUACUCUAUGACACUCAGGUCCCUUCACCUGUUGAAAGCGUUUAGGAACCAACACAGUAAUUAAUGAAUGUUGCAGGGGUGAGUACUCCAGUGUCUGCACAGGACUCAGGGCAGAUUGGUCCAUGCUUAAAAGCUAUCACACUAUAGAGGUACACAAGGGAAUUUUGCUGAAAUAUUUCAAGACAUAUGCCUGACAUAAAACAUUGCAAUCUCUGAGUCUGCAGUGGUUUUCCAAGUUACAGAAUCACACAGACUCACAGAAUAUGCCAAGUUAGAAGAGACCCACAAGGAUCAUUAAGACAAAGUUUUAGUCCUGUAAAGAACCAUCCCCCAAUUAGCUUAAAACAUAAUGGAAAGAAAUCUCUGUGCAUAAAUAUUACCCUUUUGGCAGAAGAGGGUAAGUUGCUGAGACGGAGGUGGCAGGUUUCUUCAUGAAAGAGGGAGGGAGACUGUGUUUUAGGAACAUGACUGCUCUGAAAGACCACUAUAAUAUGCCGUCUAUGUGUUCUACAUUAUGAAAUUGGAAUGGAAGAUGGGCUUAUUUAUUUUUCACUGUUGCUCUUUGGAAUGCCAAAUAAAAUAGAGCCAAAAAAGAGCACCAUUUUAUAAAUACAGAUACUCUCAGAGCAGUUCACUCAAAUAAGGUUCUGCUCUGAAGUGGUCACUUACUGUCAAGUUAAAUCUAUGUGAGUGAAACAGUGGGGCCACUGAAUGAUGCAGACCAUUUCCAUGCCUCCUUCAGUCCCAGAGGAGAGAAAGAGCAUAAAACUUCAGAUUCUUUUGUCCAUGAAAGAAAGAAAGCAUUGGGAAAGCAGCUCCUGCCCACAUGGGUAUUGAGAGCUACUCUUUCCUUCUUAGAUCAAGAAUGAGUAUCCACCCUCUAUUUUCUUUUGUUUUUUAAUAUUAUGCAGCAUCUCAUCAGCCUUGUGGAAAAAAGAAACGGUAUGCAUUUUUUCUAAGGUCUGUAGUGUUAUGCAACAUUUCUAGAAAUGUUUCUUCUUGGUUGCACUAACAGCUGUAUGUUGCCACAGUAAAUUAAAGAUAACUCUACAAUACUAGUGUUAGAAAUAGGAUUAAAAUUUGCUUCCUUAUUCUAAGUUAGCUAGUAUUCUAAUGAGUAAACGUUAUUCUAGAUGUGCCAUAUCCCAUGCCAGAGUAUAUUAGAUAUUCUCAUAUUGUGACCAACUAACUAUAGAAAUCAUAUGUACAAUUUGUAUGUCUACAUAUGCAUGUAUAUAGCUGUAUAUAUAUGUACACUUCCAAGAUCUAAUCUAGUUAUUGCUUUAAAAAAGAAAAAAUCUUGUCUAUUCUGAUUCAGGUAUAUUAUCUAUACAGAUAGCAAGAACUGGAUCGUAGGAUAAUAGAAGGAUUUAGGUUGGAAGGGACCUUAAGGAUUACAGAAUUGUUUGGGCUGGAAGAGACCUUUGGAAAUCAUCUAGUCCAAGCCCACUGAAAUGAGCAGGAUCAAGUAGAUCAGGUUGCUCUGAGCACCAUCCAAGCUGACCUCAAAUGUGUCACGGGAUGGUGAUCCGGGCAACCUGUGCCAGUGUUUCACAGACCCCAGAGCACACCUAACAGUACUAGGUGCCCAUACAUAGCUGGUCAACUCCUGCCUGUCUCCCUGGUAGAGGAAGACUUGUCCCAAGUUUUCCUUUUUUUUUGUAGGCUGUACAUCUGUGUUGUAGGGAAUUGAACACUCAAGAAUAGGAUUGUAUUUUUCUAUUGACUAUUAAUGUGAAAGAAUAAAUUACAACAUUUUAAUUUCCAUUUAAAAUCAGUGGGUUUAAGUGUGAAAGUGGCAUUUUUAUAUUAGAUAAACAUAGUUUUUAAUCCUUAAGUAAGGUUUCAAAAGAGAAGACUGAAAAGUGUGUCAACUAAAAUCAUGGAGAAUAAAAUGCUGACAAUAGAAGCUGAAGGUAUAGAGAGAUAAGCAGCCUCCUGAGACUGAGAACUAAUCAGGUUAUCAUUUGCUUAGCCUGUGAAAGUGGAAAUUAGGCUUACUCAUGUAGUUAUGGUUUUCCUUUUCAGUAACACUACUCCCAAUAAGUUUAACUUUAACUCCUGCUAGUUAUUUCUUUCAGAGUACUGCAUUUGGCUUGUAUCACAAAAUGUUAUAAAAUGCCUUGCUAGUUAAGGAUGUUCAUAGUCCAUGUUUGGACAGGGAAGAUUGUGCAACUGUGCCUUUACCUGUGACACAGAGGCCCAUGCCACAGUGGCUGGUGCCAGUGAGACCCAUGAGUUCCCUUGUUUCUGCUGGAACAUUCCAGCUGCAAGUAACAUGUAAAGUUAAAUACUUAUUGCUCCAAGGUGAAGCUUAACUGAUUUUCAUGUUUAUACCUUGUAUCAUAGAAUAUCUAGAAUUGGAAGGGACCCAUAAGGAUCAUUGAGUCCAACUCCAUGUAUAUCUGUAUUUGGAGCUGGAGACAUCAUUCCCAUUAGGAGCUGUGAACUUGAAUCAGUGUGAGUCUUCUUCCUGAAGUCACUUAGAAUUCAUUUGGCAUUUCCACUACUUUCUGAGGAGAUGUUGGCUACUGUGACACUGAGCAUACAGCUGUAUGACUACUGUUCUGGUCUUUUACAACUCACGGAUGUUACACAGUUCUCUUACCACUCCUCAGCUGGAUUGUAACCUGACUCUAGAGAAACAUAACUCAGAUUAUUCAGGAUCUGAUGAAAACACGUGACUCUUCAAGUGCCUCUGUGAAGAUACCUGUCUGUGCACAUGCAGAUAGACAUCCAUGGCCCCUAUUCUUCUGUGUUGUAGGCUGAAUAGAAAGCCUUUAAUACUACCGGCAAGACUAGGCCUGGAUGAUGCAUGCUCCAGGGCCAAAUGAAAGGAUUUGCAGUCA